GUAGAUAUAGUUUAAACAAAACCCUAGAUUGUGAUUCUAGAAAUGAAAGAUAACACCUUUCUAUCCACC
This 69-nucleotide transfer RNA is filed under the name Quasipaa jiulongensis (Jiulong spiny frog). RNAcentral's name for it is "tRNA-His". It matches the Rfam family "tRNA". Rfam says of the family: Transfer RNA (tRNA) molecules are approximately 80 nucleotides in length. Lineage: Eukaryota; Metazoa; Chordata; Amphibia; Anura; Dicroglossidae. The record is from RNAcentral.